GGUCUUAUAGUUUAAAUAAAAUACUAGACUGCAAUUCUAGAGAUAUAGAUUUAUUAAGACUU
This 62-nucleotide transfer RNA is filed under the name Torleya mikhaili. Its description in RNAcentral is "tRNA-Cys". It matches the Rfam family "tRNA". Rfam says of the family: Transfer RNA (tRNA) molecules are approximately 80 nucleotides in length. The record is from RNAcentral. Lineage: Eukaryota; Metazoa; Arthropoda; Insecta; Ephemeroptera; Ephemerellidae.